AGCUAAUGCCGGAUAAUAUUUUGAACCGCAUGGUCCAAAGGUGAAAGACGGUCUUGCUGUCACUUAUAGAUGGAUCCGCGCUGCAUUAGCUAGUUGGUAAGGUAACGGCUUACCAAGGCAACGAUGCAUAGCCGACCUGAGAGGGUGAUCGGCCACACUGGAACUGAGACACGGUCCAG
This 179-nucleotide ribosomal RNA is filed under the name uncultured Staphylococcus sp. RNAcentral describes it as "partial 16S ribosomal RNA". It matches the Rfam family "Bacterial small subunit ribosomal RNA", at positions 161 to 334 of the family's 1533-position model. The record is from RNAcentral. Lineage: Bacteria; Bacillati; Bacillota; Bacilli; Caryophanales; Staphylococcaceae.